Molecule: long non-coding RNA, 418 nt
Filed under: Equus asinus (donkey)
Lineage: Eukaryota; Metazoa; Chordata; Mammalia; Perissodactyla; Equidae
Description: lncRNA (ENSEASG00005037113.1)
Source: RNAcentral
GAGCACAUUCUAUGACACUGGGGAGGAAGUGGGGAGGAGACAGGCACCGAGCUGGUGUGGUCCCUUGCUGGCCAGCGGAGGGGCUGGCUGAAUGAGUGUGGGCUUAGGAGACCCAGUUCAUGGACUUCCGCAUUUUCAGUCUGUCUCCCCUGAGCCACCCCCACUCAUUUGUAUGUUGAUUUUGGUUGCUUGGCGAUAGAAACGACAACAGCAGAGUUGAGCACUUGCAACAGAAACCACAUGGUCCUCAAAACCUAAAAUCUUUGCUGUGGGCCCUCUCCAGAAAAGCUUACCAACCCUCAGUCUGUAUGAACACUGGCAGAACACUGGUAGAAGAACCUCUGGUAACUAGCUGGGCACAUGGCCACCCAAAAUAAAGACCGCAUUUCCCAGCAUCCUUUGCAGCUAGGUGUACCAG